AGGCUGAGAGGGACGGCCCACCCAACAGAAGCCACAACAGGUCCCCAAAGAAUUUCUGCAGGCUGGGACUCCUGAGUGAAAUGAAGAAGUGGGAUUCAACAGAGAGAAAUGUGAAGUCUGCCAGCUAGCCCUGAGAAGCAGGCAUGACAAGAGAGGAUGCCCGUGUUACAGAUGAGAAAAACAGAGGCCCUGGGAGGAAGCUUGCCUAAUGCCACUCAGGAGGUAGAGGCAAAGCUGGGAAAGGCCCUGGGUCCCCAGACUGCCCCUCUGGAACUCCACAUGCAGCCACCUGGCUGUCCUGCCCGGGAUGCCAUCCGCAGGCUAGGCUGGCGCUCAUGCCCAUGCCCUGCUGUCCACUGACACCCCGCAGAGCUUAACACCCCGCUGAGCCUGCCCUGCAGCCCUUGCCAAGUCUGUCCGAGUGGCCUCAGUCAUUGGCAAGUCACAUUGCUGACAUCGCAACUGCAUAAAAUUAAUUUAUUUAGUUAA
RNAcentral lists this long non-coding RNA (489 nucleotides) under Homo sapiens (human). RNAcentral's name for it is "non-protein coding lnc-SGPL1-2:5". Lineage: Eukaryota; Metazoa; Chordata; Mammalia; Primates; Hominidae. The record is from RNAcentral.